GAUGAACGCUGGCGGCGUGCCUAAUACAUGCAAGUCGAGCGAACAGACGAGGAGCUUGCUCCUCUGACGUUAGCGGCGGACGGGUGAGUAACACGUGGAUAACCUACCUAUAAGACUGGGAUAACUUCGGGAAACCGGAGCUAAUACCGGAUAAUAUAUUGAACCGCAUGGUUCAAUAGUGAAAGACGGUUUUGCUGUCACUUAUAGAUGGAUCCGCGCCGCAUUAGCUAGUUGGUAAGGUAACGGCUUACCAAGGCAACGAUGCGUAGCCGACCUGAGAGGGUGAUCGGCCACACUGGAACUGAGACGCGGUCCAGACUCCUACGGGAGGCAGCAGUAGGGAAUCGUCCGCAAUGGGCGAAAGCCUGACGGAGCAACGCCGCGUGAGUGAUGAAGGUCUUCGGAUCGUAAAACUCUGUUAUUAGGGAAGAACAAAUGUGUAAGUAACUAUGCACGUCUUGACGGUACCGAAUCAGAAAGCCACGGCUAACUACGU
Molecule: ribosomal RNA, 496 nt
Filed under: uncultured bacterium
Lineage: Bacteria
Description: partial 16S ribosomal RNA
Rfam family: Bacterial small subunit ribosomal RNA
Source: RNAcentral